GCACGGUUAUGGUGGGCGACUCUAAGGAGACUGCCGGUGACAAACCGGAGGAAGGUGGGGAUGACGUCAAGUCAUCAUGGCCCUUACGGCCUGGGCUACACACGUGCUACAAUGGUCGGUACAAAGGGUUGCCAAGCCGCGAGGUGGAGCUAAUCCCAUAAAACCGAUCGUAGUCCGGAUCGCAGUCUGCAACUCGACUGCGUGAAGUCGGAAUCGCUAGUAAUCGUGAAUCAGAAUGUCACGGUGAAUACGUUCCCGGGCCUU
Molecule: ribosomal RNA, 264 nt
Filed under: uncultured Pseudomonas sp.
Lineage: Bacteria; Pseudomonadati; Pseudomonadota; Gammaproteobacteria; Pseudomonadales; Pseudomonadaceae
Description: partial 16S ribosomal RNA
Rfam family: Bacterial small subunit ribosomal RNA
Source: RNAcentral